ACUCAAGAAGCUUAAGAUUAGAGCAUAACAUUGAAGAUGUUAGGGUAAUGGUUUAUUUUUGAAUA
This 65-nucleotide transfer RNA is filed under the name Monistria discrepans. Its description in RNAcentral is "tRNA-Phe". Lineage: Eukaryota; Metazoa; Arthropoda; Insecta; Orthoptera; Pyrgomorphidae. The record is from RNAcentral.